CCUACGGGAGGCAGCAGUGAGGAAUAUUGGUCAAUGGGCGUAAGCCUGAACCAGCCAAGUCGCGUGAGGGAUGAAGGUUCUAUGGAUCGUAAACCUUUUUUAUAAGGGAAUAAAGUGUGGGACGUGUCCUGUUUUGUAUGUACCUUAUGAAUAAGGAUAGGCUAAAUCCGUGCCAGCAGCCGCGGUAAUACGGAGGGUGCGAGCGUUAUCCGGAUUUAUUGGGUUUGAAGGGUGAGUAGGCGGCCUUUUAUGUCAGCGGUGAAAGUCUGUGGCUCAACCAUAGAAUUGCCGUGGAGACUGGUAGUCUUGAGUAUGUUUGAGGCAGGUGGAAUGCGUGGUGUAGGGGUGAAAUGCGUAGAUAUCACGCAGAACCCUGAUUGCGAAGGCAGCCUGCCAAGCCAUGACUGACGCUGAUGCACGAAAGCGUGGGGAGCAAACAGGAUUAGAUACCCGGGUAGUC
RNAcentral lists this ribosomal RNA (460 nucleotides) under uncultured bacterium. Its description in RNAcentral is "partial 16S ribosomal RNA". It matches the Rfam family "Bacterial small subunit ribosomal RNA", at positions 338 to 795 of the family's 1533-position model. The record is from RNAcentral.